UGGGGAAUAUUGCACAAUGGGCGCAAGCCUGAUGCAGCCAUGCCGCGUGUGUGAAGAAGGCCUUCGGGUUGUAAAGCACUUUCAGCGAGGAGGAAGGGUAGUGUGUUAAUAGCACAUUGCAUUGACGUUACUCGCAGAAGAAGCACCGGCUAACUCCGUGCCAGCAGCCGCGGUAAUACGGAGGGUGCAAGCGUUAAUCGGAAUUACUGGGCGUAAAGCGCACGCAGGCGGUUUGUUAAGUCAGAUGUGAAAUCCCCGCGCUUAACGUGGGAACUGCAUUUGAAACUGGCAAGCUAGAGUCUUGUAGAGGGGGGUAGAAUUCCAGGUGUAGCGGUGAAAUGCGUAGAGAUCUGGAGGAAUACCGGUGGCGAAGGCGGCCCCCUGGACAAAAGACUGACGCUCAGGUGCGA
RNAcentral lists this ribosomal RNA (410 nucleotides) under uncultured bacterium. Its description in RNAcentral is "partial 16S ribosomal RNA". It matches the Rfam family "Bacterial small subunit ribosomal RNA", at positions 355 to 756 of the family's 1533-position model. The record is from RNAcentral.